Molecule: ribosomal RNA, 274 nt
Filed under: uncultured bacterium
Lineage: Bacteria
Description: partial 16S ribosomal RNA
Rfam family: Bacterial small subunit ribosomal RNA
Source: RNAcentral
AUACGGAGGGUGCAAGCGUUAAUCGGAAUUACUGGGCGUAAAGCGCGCGUAGGCGGAUAUUUAAGUCUCAUGUGAAAGCCCUGGGCUCAACCUGGGAACUGCAUGGGAUACUGGGUAUCUAGAAUACAGUAGAGGGUAGUGGAAUUUCAGGUGUAGCGGUGAAAUGCGUAGAGAUCUGAAGGAACAUCAGUGGCGAAGGCGACUACCUGGACUGAUAUUGACGCUGAGGUGCGAAAGCGUGGGGAGCAAACAGGAUUAGAUACCCCAGUAGUCC